This 494-nucleotide ribosomal RNA is filed under the name uncultured bacterium. RNAcentral describes it as "partial 16S ribosomal RNA". It matches the Rfam family "Bacterial small subunit ribosomal RNA", at positions 28 to 507 of the family's 1533-position model. The record is from RNAcentral.
GACGAACGCUGGCGGCGUGCUUAACACAUGCAAGUCGAACGGAAAGGCCUGGUUUCCCUUGUGUAUUGGGGUUACUAGCGUGGCGAACGGGCGUGUAUCACGUGAGUUUUCUGUCCCCAACUUGUGAAUAAGCCUGGGAAACUGGGUCUAAUUCCCGAUAGGACUGCAGGGUGGUGUCUGUGGUUGCAACGGUUUUGGUAGUGGUUGGGGAUGAGCCGGGGGCUGGUCAGGUGGUUGGUGGGGGAAUGGCUGACGAGGGGCGGGCCGGGUAGGCGGCCCGGGGUGGUGGGCGGGCACAUGGGAACGGAGACACGGCCCAGACUCCUACGGGAGGAAGCAGUGGGGAAUAAGGAACAAUGGGCGGAAGCCUGAGGCAGCGACGCCGCGUGGGGGAUGACGGCCUUCGGGUUGUGAACUCCUUUCGACCGAGAGGAAGCCACCUGGUUGGAAGGGUGGUGACGGUAGUGGUAGAAGAAGCACCGGCUAACUACGUG